UGAAUGCUCUUGAAUCUCUUUCACAAUCUCUCGUGUAUAUUGUGGAUCUUCUGUCUCUCUCUCGUGUAGAUUUUGGAUCCUCUUUUCUUUUUCUCUCGAGUAUCUCGUUGAUCACCUCUUGUAUUUUGGAUCCUCUCAAUUGUAUUCUGUAUUUUCACCUUUUGAAACAUUUUAUAGCAUUAAGAAACAAGAGAAAACAUAUUAGGCAGAAAAAGAGCCGUUAGAG
This 226-nucleotide long non-coding RNA is filed under the name Elaeis guineensis (African oil palm). Its description in RNAcentral is "long non-coding RNA (EGUI_LNC064855)". The record is from RNAcentral. Lineage: Eukaryota; Viridiplantae; Streptophyta; Magnoliopsida; Arecales; Arecaceae.